CAGUAGCCGCGGUAAUACGUAGGUGGCAAGCGUUGUCCGGAAUUAUUGGGCGUAAAGGGCUCGCAGGCGGUUUCUUAAGUCUGAUGUGAAAGCCCCCGGCUCAACCGGGGAGGGUCAUUGGAAACUGGGAAACUUGAGUGCAGAAGAGGAGAGUGGAAUUCCACGUGUAGCGGUGAAAUGCGUAGAGAUGUGGAGGAACACCAGUGGCGAAGGCGACCCUCUGGUCUGUAACUGACGCUGAGGAGCGAAAGCGUGGGGAGCGAACAGGAUUAGAUACCCCUGUAGUCCCUGUCUCUUAUAA
Molecule: ribosomal RNA, 301 nt
Filed under: uncultured bacterium
Lineage: Bacteria
Description: partial 16S ribosomal RNA
Rfam family: Bacterial small subunit ribosomal RNA
Source: RNAcentral